CUGCAAUACAGAAACCUAUUUGAGCAAAACCAGGGCUGGAUCUGGAGGAGGGAAUCGUGCAGCUGCAGCCAGGCAGCCCCAGCCAUCCUGGGCGCAGCUGGGAGCGGGGGGCUGAGUUUAGGGGGGUGGUCCUGGGGCGGGCUCAGGCUGAAGGGCAGCCGGGGGGCAGUCAGGGGGUGCUUCUGGGCCGCUGGUGGUGCUCCUGUUUGCUGAGAGCUGGUGCUGUGGCAUGUGGAGGUCUGGGGCUGACGGGUGGUGGAUUACAAAUGCAGACGUCGUGGCUGCGGGCUGAGACAGGCCUGGGGCUUCCAUUGCUCUUCCCUUGGCAAGCAGGAGCGCCGUCAGCCUGCGCCAGUCACCGCGCCGUCCUUCACCCUGGUCUAGCACCACAGGCCCUUUGCCAAGCACCAAGAAGAGCAGCCUUGUCCCUCACCUCCGCUACCUGAUGGCCGCCUGAAGAACCUCUUCAGAGCCCUUUCUGCUGCCUGCCUGCCAA
Long non-coding RNA from Oxyura jamaicensis (ruddy duck), 496 nucleotides. RefSeq lists it as uncharacterized. The record is from RefSeq and is a predicted model, not a curated record. NCBI's taxonomy places the organism in Eukaryota, Metazoa, Chordata, Aves, Anseriformes, Anatidae. The transcript is spliced from 3 exons.